CAGCAGUAGCCGCGGUAAUACGAAGGGUGCAAGCGUUAAUCGGAAUUACUGGGCGUAAAGCGUGCGUAGGCGGUGAGUUAAGUCUGCUGUGAAAUCCCCGGGCUCAACCUGGGAAUGGCAGUGGAUACUGGCUCGCUAGAGUGUGUCAGAGGAUGGUGGAAUUCCCGGUGUAGCGGUGAAAUGCGUAGAGAUCGGGAGGAACAUCAGUGGCGAAGGCGGCCAUCUGGGACAACACUGACGCUGAGGCACGAAAGCGUGGGGAGCAAACAGGAUUAGAUACCCCGGUAGUCCCUGUCUCUUAUAA
Molecule: ribosomal RNA, 304 nt
Filed under: uncultured bacterium
Lineage: Bacteria
Description: partial 16S ribosomal RNA
Rfam family: Bacterial small subunit ribosomal RNA
Source: RNAcentral